UCCGAGUUGACCCCGGCAGUCUCCUAUGAGUCCCCACCAUCACGUGCUGGUAACAUAGGACGAGGGUUGCGCUCGUUGCGGGACUUAACCCAACAUCUCACGACACGAGCUGACGACAGCCAUGCACCACCUGUACACCGACCACAAGGGGGGCACCAUCUCUGAUGCUUUCCGGUGUAUGUCAAGCCUUGGUAAGGUUCUUCGCGUUGCGUCGAAUUAAACCACAUGCUCCACCGCUUGUGCGGGCCCCCGUCAAUUCCUUUGAGUUUCAACCUUGCGGUCGUACUCCCCAGGCGGGGUACUUCCUGCGUUAGCGCCGGCACCCAGAGGGUCGCUCCCCCCGGCACCUAGUACCCAUCGUUUACGGCGUGGACUAC
RNAcentral lists this unclassified non-coding RNA (377 nucleotides) under uncultured bacterium. Its description in RNAcentral is "contains 16S-23S intergenic spacer region". The record is from RNAcentral.